RNAcentral lists this ribosomal RNA (253 nucleotides) under uncultured bacterium. Its description in RNAcentral is "partial 16S ribosomal RNA". It matches the Rfam family "Bacterial small subunit ribosomal RNA", at positions 524 to 776 of the family's 1533-position model. The record is from RNAcentral.
UACGUAGGGGGCUAGCGUUGUCCGGAUUUAUUGGGCGUAAAGAGCGUGUAGGCGGCCAUGUAGGUCCGGUGUGAAAACUCGAGGCUUAACCUCGAGAUGUCAUCGGAAACCAUUUGGCUAGAGUCCGGAAGAGGAGAGUGGAAUUCCUGGUGUAGCGGUGAAAUGCGCAGAUAUCAGGAGGAACACCGGUGGCGAAGGCGGUUCUCUGGGCAUUACCUGACGCUGAGGAGCGAAAGUGUGGGGAGCGAACAGG